UGCAGUCGAACGGUGAAAGAGAGCUUGCUCUCUGGAUCAGUGGCGAACGGGUGCAGUAACACGUGAGCAAUCUGCCCCUGACUCUGGGAUAAGCGCUGGAAACGGCGUCUAAUACCGGAUACGAGCUGCGAAGGCAUCUUCAGCAGCUGGAAAGAACUUCGGUCAGGGAUGAGCUCGCGGCCUAUCAGCUAGUUGGUGAGGUAAUGGCUCACCAAGGCGUCGACGGGUAGCCGGCCUGAGAGGGUGACCGGCCACACUGGGACUGAGACACGGCCCAGACUCCUACGGGAGGCAGCAGUGGGGAAUAUUGCACAAUGGGCGCAAGCCUGAUGCAGCAACGCCGCGUGAGGGACGACGGCCUUCGGGUUGUAAACCUCUUUUAGCAGGGAAGAAGCGAAAGUGACGGUACCUGCAGAAAAAGCACCGGCUAACUACGUGCCAGCAGCCGCGGUAAUACGUAGGGUGCAAGCGUUAUCCGGAAUUAUUGGGCGUAAAGAGCUCGUAGGCGGUUUGUCGCGUCUGCUGUGAAAACUGGGGGCUCAACCCCCAGCCUGCAGUGGGUACGGGCAGACUAGAGUGCGGUAGGGGAGAUUGGAAUUCCUGGUGUAGCGGUGGAAUGCGCAGAUAUCAGGAGGAACACCGAUGGCGAAGGCAGAUCUCUGGGCCGUAACUGACGCUGAGGAGCGAAAGGGUGGGGAGCAAACAGGCUUAGAUACCCUGGUAGUCCACCCCGUAAACGUUGGGAACUAGUUGUGGGGUCCAUUCCACGGAUUCCGUGACGCAGCUAACGCAUUAAGUUCCCCGCCUGGGGAGUACGGCCGCAAGGCUAAAACUCAAAGGAAUUGACGGGGACCCGCACAAGCGGCGGAGCAUGCGGAUUAAUUCGAUGCAACGCGAAGAACCUUACCAAGGCUUGACAUAUACGAGAACGGGCCAGAAAUGGUCAACUCUUUGGACACUCGUAAACAGGUGGUGCAUGGUUGUCGUCAGCUCGUGUCGUGAGAUGUUGGGUUAAGUCCCGCAACGAGCGCAACCCUCGUUCUAUG
This 1046-nucleotide ribosomal RNA is filed under the name Microbacterium sp. LB7-4. Its description in RNAcentral is "bacterial SSU rRNA". It matches the Rfam family "Bacterial small subunit ribosomal RNA", at positions 56 to 1114 of the family's 1533-position model. Lineage: Bacteria; Bacillati; Actinomycetota; Actinomycetes; Micrococcales; Microbacteriaceae. The record is from RNAcentral.